This is a long non-coding RNA of Coregonus clupeaformis (lake whitefish), 1580 nucleotides long. RefSeq lists it as uncharacterized. The record is from RefSeq and is a predicted model, not a curated record. The transcript is spliced from 3 exons. NCBI's taxonomy places the organism in Eukaryota, Metazoa, Chordata, Actinopteri, Salmoniformes, Salmonidae.
GCAAGUGGUGUUACUGCGUUGAUGAAAAUAUUUUCUGCAUGCCUGACGUCAUGUCAACGUUACUGUAUGCAGAACUUUUUCUCCUCUGUAAGUUAUGGCACUUCACUUGAUUAUAUUUACAUUUUAUAACUUAAGUAUAACUAAAGUUAAGUAUAUGUGACACAUAUUGCGAUGAGAAAUUAACAGGUGGAUGACAGACUGUCGAUGAAGAGAGCUCACCACAGACCCAGACAAGGCGUCUAUUGUAUUUUAUUACGCGGAAGCCAUGCCACCAAUGGAGAGAAGCGAGAGGAGUACAGAACAGGGUGACUACUGAUCUGGACCACAUUCUGAAGGGGCUGGACUCCAUGUCUGAGUGUCUGGACAGACUGGCUUGUAGAUACAUCUGUAUCUCUCUUCUUUACCCCUCUGGGCUCUCUCCUUUAUCUACUACAGUGUUCCCAACCCUCUCCUUUAUCUACUACAGUGUUCCCAACCCUCUCCUUUAUCUACUACAGUGUUCCCAACCCUCUCCUUUAUCUACUACAGUGUUCCCAACCCUCUCCUUUAUCUACUACAGUGUUCCCAACCCUCUCCUUUAUCUACUACAGUGUUCCCAACCCUCUCCUUUAUCUACUACAGUGUUCCCAACCCUCUCCUUUAUCUACUACAGUGUUCCCAACCCUCUCCCUUAUCUACUACAGUGAUCCCAACCCUCUCCUUUAUCUAUUACAGUGUUUCCCAACCCUCUCCUUUAUCUACUACAGUGUUCCCAACCCUCUCCUUUAUCUACUACAGUGUUCCCAACCCUCUCCUUUAUCUACUACAGUGUUUCCCAAUCCUCUCCUACUUAGGGAACCGUCAGACAAUCCACAUUCUUGUUCUAGCCCUGCAAUGCCACAUGCAGUUCAACUAAUCAACAAAUCAACUGUUCUUAAAUAAAAAUCAUACAUUUUGGUAGACUCAGUCCUUUUGAUUUUAAACCUCUUUUAAAAAGUGCACAGAGCUAGGCCAGCUUUGUCUAAUAGACAGAAGUUUAUUUUACAGUGUGUUUUUUUGUGAAUGUUUUCUUCUGUUCAGUGCGGUUCACAGUGCGGACACAGCUGAGACAGUGUGACCUGAUCGUGUGACAAGAUGGCCUCUCUGAACAGAGUGGAACAGGGGGUGGGUGACCUGGCCAAACAUGACCUCAGGCUGAGGAGUGAGGAAGAAGAUGAGGAGGAGGAGAAGAUGAAGAAGAUGGAGGAGGAUGGAGAGUAAAUGAAGGUGAGUCAUAAAGGAACACACACUGUGUCUCCUGUGCUGCUGGUUAUGGUCAGAGUGGUGCAGGGUGCAGCAGGCAGCACUGGCUCUGUGCUCCAGUUCCUCUCUCCAUGUCUAUGAGCAGCAGAGGUGUGUGUGUGUAGUGGUCUAUCAUCUCCUUCACUCCUGGGAAACUCUGCAUCAGCAACACAGCAGCAUAUAAUGGAAAGGCCCAUUGGUUAGUUUAUGAUGUGGUAGCAGGUUGGCAUUUGUUGUCAUGAACUCUGCAGAGUGGUCACUAGCUGGCACAGCCACAAAGUCAUGCAAUCUGAUUUUAAACCUAACCCUAGCCUCAACCC